Molecule: ribosomal RNA, 254 nt
Filed under: uncultured bacterium
Lineage: Bacteria
Description: partial 16S ribosomal RNA
Rfam family: Bacterial small subunit ribosomal RNA
Source: RNAcentral
UACGUAGGUGGCAAGCGUUGUCCGGAUUUACUUGGCGUAAAGGGCGCGUAGGCGGUCAGCACAAGUCAGUUGUGAAAUCUCCGGGCUUAACUCGGAAAGGUCAACUGAUACUGUGCGUCUAGAGUGCGGAAGGGGCAACUGGAAUUCUCGGUGUAGCGGUGAAAUGCGCAGAUAUCAGGAGGAACACCGGUGGCGAAGGCGGGUCUCUGGGCAGUAACUGACGCUGAGGAGCGAAAGCGUGGGGAGCGAACAGG